AGAGCGCCCCCUUACGGCGGACUUAAAACUGCCGACUGAAUGAUUAUGAAAACACUCCCGCCAAUGUACCGAAGCUCGCACCGUUGGAACAGUGUUUUUUUCUAACCUUUUUACUCGUCAAACCACGUCACGCCAUUCACGCGCGAGGGAGCAGUGAGUCGCCACACGGGUGGGCGGCGGAGGUGGAGGUACUGUUGGCUACGACGGAGGCAGCAACAUCUUAACCUUCCGAAACGCAGUUUGUUCCAGGACGCGCUCGCUGCUGCUGCUUUUUCGGGGUUGUUAGUCAGGCGUGAUGUGUUGUGAUUUUCGUGCGUGGACGCUCUGCGGUGACAACUGACAGGAUAGUGCUGCAACACACCCGCUGGCCACACUGGAGGUAGCGCCAGUGGAAAUGUCAGCGAGCCUACGCAGCUGCCAUCUGGGUACACAAUGCAUUUUGUCAGCUCAAGCCCAAAGGACAAGAUCCGUCUUUGUUGGAUGAACAAGCUCAACGGAGUGUUUUUUCUUCAAACCAUCACCUCCAACUCUUUCACUGGUAUAUUGGGAACUAUUCAGCCAUCUUCUCCUCCCCCCUGACUUCUCUGAUGGACCAGAGAAUGAAGGGGGGCACCCCUCUAAUGACAGACUCCACUCUGGAUGCCUCCCCAGCACCUGAGGAUUUUGAGCAGGACCAAGAGAAAAGAAAGCAUCUCGAGACGGAGGAUUCGGACGUGGGGAAGAAGGAAGACAGACGAGGGAAGAAGAGGGAAGGGGACAAGGGGGCGGUGCUGGAGUUGCUCAUUGAGGGGCGCUGUGGGGGUACUGGGCAGCAACAGCUUCAGAUAUGUAGCAGGGAGACCAGCUGCCCUGACGGGAAUGUGCGACUCCGCAUCGGAGUGCAAGCCAAGCGCACCAAGAAGCCGCCCAAGAUUUUGGAAAGCUACGUUUGCAAACCCACCAUCAGAACCUAUCAGAGGCAGCAGGGCCGAGGGGGGGCGCUGCCAACCAGAACUGCCACCAACCCUGACGACGGGACCAGAGAGAACCGCUCAGGCUCGAAUGGCGUCCAAACCACAUGCAAACAAACGGCAUCUGCCACUUUGCCGUCAUUAUCAACACCACCAUCAUCAUCAGUGGCGCAAUCUUCAACACCAGAAAAUGCUAUCGUUUCCACAAUAGCCUCAGCCAUCGCCAACCCAGGGACCAAGUCUGCCAAACAGGUUCCUCUCAAACUGGAUGGUAACGCAGAGGUGACGUCCGCUGGUUCAUCGGAGAGAGGGAAGAAAGAGAAGACUCUAGGUGUCCAUGAGCAGCCGCUCCCUGCAGUUCUGAAACCGUGCUCACCCACCGCCCAUCAGGAAGCAUCAGCUACCCCCUUGAGGCUGUGCACCGAAACGCUGCCUGAAAGGGAAAUCAACAAGAAACACAAUGGUGUGGUGCAGACCAAGAAACAGAAGGGACUUUCGAACGGGAAAUGCUCUGAAGACAAACUUGGAGAUACACAAUCAAUCAAAACUGCAAAACACAGCAGCUCUGUUCCUUCUGUGGACGCCAUACCUCCAAGUUCUUCUAAAACAGAGCUUUGCGUGGCGCAAAAGAGUAACUCCUCCUCUGUUACCGCUAAAUCAAAAUCCUCCCCUACUCUGGAUAUGUCUCCUGCACAAGUUCAGGAAGCUUCAUUGAAGCGCUUAAAUGACAAAAAGAGAGAUAAAGAGCGGAAGGUAAAGAAGGAGAAACGAAAAGAGAGAAAGGCAAAGGGAGAGGGACUGGAAACAGAGAGAGUAAAGAGUGAUAAGAAAAAAGAAGAAUUCAUAAAGAAGAAAAAAGACAAAGGAAAGGAUGGCAAAUUGCGACAGGGUAAAGACCAUAAAAGUAGUGAUGAACUGAAGACUGGAAAAAAGACUGAGAAAAACAAGAUCAACACAGAGAAACACAGAAAAGAAGACACUAACUUGGGCGGCAUGAGUAAAUUAGAUAAACCAUAUAAAGUAGCAGACCAAGGGAGAUCUGAAGAGGGGAGCAUGAGAGAUCAUAUCAAACAAGCUGAGCUCCAAGCAACGUCUGCUGACAGCAUUAAGUCAAAAGAGAAUGAAAUUGUCAGGUAUUCAACAGUGCUGCCAAAACAUCCAGCGUCAUAUUCUACCCUGCCCCCUCUUUCUCCACCAUCCUCCAACCAAGAGCAGGACAGCAGGCCGCUUAAGAAACGUAAAGCUCGAAGGCCCAGCUGGACAAAGCUGGUGCACCGGACUCAGAGGAUGGAAAAUCAGGAAGCAGAUUCUCAACAGAGUUUCUCUCAAAAGUUGUCUAUUCACUCACCUCCCUCUUGCUCCCCGUCCUCCUCCACAACAAAACCAUCAUCUCCGAAACCGAACCCCACCAUAUCAGAUCUGAAACCGUCUGCUUCCACAAGCCCUUCCACUCCAGGCCGAAAAAGGGGCCGUCCCAAAUCACAUACCAUAAUCUUUAAUGAACCUCUUCUGAGACUUUCCCCCGAGGAGGUUGCCUUUCUGGAGUGUGACGACGUUCAGAAAAGCCCUGUGCUGGACUCGAGCCCGAAGAAGCGCGGCCGUCCUCGCAAACAACCACUGAAUCAAACAGACAUCACAGAUAAGAACAGAAAUCCUCCUCCUCCUCCUGAAAAGGGAAACAGGCAGCUAAAAAUCAGGAGGCUGAUUAAUGAGAUGAAGAAAAGGAAGAAGAAGAGACUUCACAAGGUAAUGACGUCUGGCAAUGUAGGAAAGGAGAGCAAGCGGGUUAAAGGUGUCAAGAGUUCUCAGAGAACAUACAAGUCCAUUGAACCGCCGACUGUGCCCACGCUUUCUGACUUGUCGUCCUCCUUUGGGACAAAGCUGGGCCCUCAGAUCAAUGUGAGCAAGAGAGGAACCAUUUACAUGGGCAAGAGGAGAGGGCGCAAGCCCAAAUCCCAAACAGCUCGUCUGAAUUCCCACAGCUACACUCAGGCGUCUUUGUUUGGCCAGCCCACUGAAACAUCUCUCUUCAUGUCCAACCAGCUCCAGCCUCCUGCAGCCCACCCAUUUCCCUCCCCGUCCCUUACACACUCCAGUGGGGCCCAGAGCCCUUACAGUGAAGGAAGUGUUACAGAGCCAACAUCGACUUUGCUUUUUCCUCCCCCGUUCUCCCUCCCGUCCCCGUCGUCCUCCUGCACUUCACCCCGUCCCCCGUCCUGCUCCUCCCUCUCCCCCUUUGUGAAGAAAAGUUGUCCAUGCCAGGGCAGGCACCACUUUCCCUUUCACCAGUCAUCAUGUAAGCUCUCCUCUCCCAAUGGUCCACUCCAUCCCACGCCCGGCUCACCUGGCCACCUGAAAGACGCCACCCCCUCACCUAGGAGUGAAUCGCACAGUGAAGAGACGUUGCCCAGUGAUAGCGGGAUUGGAACCGAUAACAACAGUGUCUGCGAGCGAGUGGAAAUGAGGGGUGCUAGAGGCAUGCUCAGGUUGGGUCAAGGGUCUGGAGGGAUUCUUGGGGGUCCAAAACUCUCCUCUCUUGCGGACCCUCUUCUCACCAGACACAAGAAUCCGAUUGGCAACUCAACUUCCGUAGAGCGGCACCGACAUCGGCACAGGCGGCGGGAUUACAACUGCCCCUCUUCCUGUAGUUGCCUGUGUCCCUGCCCUGGACACAACAAGUGCACUCAUUCAGAUUACUUCCCUUGCAUUGGUCACAACAUACUGAAGAGACAGAAAAACAAACAUAAAAAGAAACACCAGCAACUGCUAAUGCAGGAUCCAGAGUUUCUGUCUGAACUGGAAGAGCUCAUCGGUCAAUUCAGUGAAGUUCACAUCGGUCGGCGAGGCUGGGCCAGGUCGGAGCCGGGCCAGGCUUAUGACGGGGGCAGGCGCCACCACUCCUCGCAUUCUCACCGCUCCAAUAUCUUCAAAAUCAAUCUGAAUGGCUUCUAUUCACCUCACCCUCCGUCUUACGCUGCUAAUUCCUCCUUCUCCCCACAGCCUCUCUACCCCUGCCAGACGUUGCAUUGUAACAGAAAGCCGGAACGAAGGCAGUGUGGCUGUCCAUCAAAGUUCCAGGAGACCAUUGACAACAUGGGCUUCUACAGCAGCUAUCCACCAGCCACAACGCUUUACCACCACCUUCCCGGCUCAUACCCACUUCCCUCUCCUCACCACUAUGCCUCGCAACAGCCCCACCAUACCCACAUUCUUCUAAACCCCGCCAGGUUUCACAGGCGGCGGAGCAGGCUGCUGAGGGAGGGCGCUCUCGGAGGGGAGAUUGAAGGGAAUGGAGGAAGCCUCAACUUAGGGUACACGUCAAGCCUCUCGUGUGACUGUGGUCACAAACAUAAACACAGACAAAGGCUCUGCCAACGCAACGUUGAAGAUGAGGCAACGUUACAUGAGCAUGAGGAGCAGGAGGAUGUGGUGGCGAGAGAGGCUUUCUCCACUUCAAAGUCAAGGUUCAUUUUGGGGCAAGGUGGAGGGCGGAAGGGCACAAGAGGAAUGGGGGGCGUGCUGUCCAGAGAGUCACCCUGGUUACGUGAGAAUGCAAAUAAUUCGUUCUCUGCUGCCACAUCAUCAUCUUUGGCAGAAAGAUCAAAACAUGCAUCUCUCUUCUCUGUGGGGCUGGGCUCCUCUCACUUGUCUUCGUUCGGAGGGGGCUGGGGCGGCCUGGGCCAGAGUUGGACCAAACUUCAGGGUGCGGGGUUCCCAAACAACAGCUGGGGAUCCUCUGCUGGACGCACAGGCCCGAUGAUUCCCUCUGACCCGGAGGAUGACGACAGCGAAGACAUUCACCUACCCCACCCAAGCAGGACGCCUCCGUCGCCGACGCACACCAACCUGUUCACGUCGGUUGGCGUGCCAACAGGGGGUCAUGGCUUGAAGAGCGGGUUGGCCAGUCGGAAUCCUGGAAGUGGAGAGAGGUCAUGGAGGACGGACGAGCCAGCUUGGACAGAGAGGAGAGAAGCAGCUUUACAAGGUGACCCAAGAAGCCGCGGGCAGCUCAAAGGUGUGACAAAGACACACGCCGCUGAUGGGAAAAACAAAAGACGACCCGGUCGACCCAGGAAACGCCCUCUGCCCUCCACUUUGCCUUCCUCUGUGUCGUCACCCGACCUUCUGCGAGGGCGCAGCAAUAAUAACGUAGGCUGGAGAGUGGGGUUGGACCAAGAUGUGGCGGGUGUCGGCUCGGUGCCGCAGGCGACAGAUUCGGAGCUGCAGGCCAAGAGGAAGCGAGGACGGAAGAGAAAACAUGACGCCUCUCCCUGCCAUCAGAGUGUCGCCGAGGACGAGCUGUUGUCCUGCGACACGCCCGGCGAACGUUUCGGCCAAUCGGCCGCCGAGCAGCCCGCAUCCCAACCAGCCGAUGUCCAAAGAGACAGGAGCGAAGACGGUCCUGCCAGGAAGACGUUUUUGAGGGCCGGUCUUUACUCUGAUGAUUACAAAACGAUAGAUCCCCCCUCCCAGUCGCAGCUCUUCUCCAGAGCGAGCGCAGAGUACCAACCAGGUGAGCGGGAAUACAGCCUUUUACCAGCACCCAUCCAUGUUGGGAAGUACUUGAGGAUGAAGAGAAUACAUUUCCAGUUACCCUAUGAUGUCAUGUGGCUUUGGCAGCACAACCAGCUUCAGAGGCAACCUGCCUUCCCGCUGAAGAGGAAACGGCGCUACUGCCGACUGAAGGAGAGGACAUUUCCCUCCCAGCACACUGCGGAGGAGAGCUCGAGUGACUUGGCCAGCCUCUUUCCUCACCUCGACAUGGACCCUUUGAGCAACAGUGAGCGGAGCUUCGUGGUGACACAUCGCGUGUUCCUGGUGCGGAACUGGGAACUGGUGAGGGAGCGACAGAUCCGACUGAGGAUGGAGGGGAGGCGAGAGGGGGACAGCGAGGCGGAGGAGAGGGACUGGCGUGUCGUGUGCGGGGAUGGAGCCAGUGGGGACGAUAGCCACAUCAAGUCAGAUAUACCAGUGGGGGUGGUGGAGGUGACUAUUUCCAGCAGUGACCCCCACCCGGGCGGUCACGACACCCCCCACUCGCUCACCGCGAGCCCCCGCCCCACAGAGAGCCAGAACAGAGAAGAAGAUGAUGAAGAUGAUGAGGAGGAGGAGGGCGAGGAAGGCAAAGUGGGAGAAUGCAGCAGAGAGCAGAGGAGAAAGCGGCUGAACGAUUUACUUUUGACCCUGCAGCAUUCAUAAGCUAACACACGCAUAAAGAUGCAGACGCAGGUGGAGGAACUAUUGGAGAAUGGUUUAUUAUAAUCCAGUUCAGGGUAAGUAUCUCCAAGGCGUGAAGGUGGCCCGUCGGGACAGGGAAUGUGCCGGAAGCGGAGGGGCGUGAGCAGGUGGGAGAGCUUGGCGGCGUGGCUGGAGCGAACAGCCAGGCGGGGGGCACGGAAGGAGCACUGGAGACGAAGAAGAACACAAGGAGGAAGGAGCACUCAAGAGGAAAAGGGACCAGGCUCGCCGCAGGACACAGACAGGUGCUGCUUUUGAAUCGGAAAACAACAACAACAACAACAACACGGCAGAGAGGAGUGAGGAGGAGAAUUUCAAACCACGAGAAAGACAUCACUGCGCGCUCUGACAGCCACUGAACCGAGCGCGCUGAAGGGCAUCACACCAAGGAUGAAACCAUGGCAACACAUCUUUUGUCCGGGAUGAAAGAGAGAAAAAAAAGAGAGCGUGAUCGCGAGAGAGGGAGGAUCAACUUAAACAGACCAGCUGAAAUUAAUUUGCACUAGUGCCCGAGCACAGUAAAGACACUAAACAAGUGUGUGUGCCCCCCCCCCCCCCCAGAAAAAACAACAACACACACUUGGAUUGCUCCUCCUUGGGCACCUUAAAGCAAACUGGGGAAGGAACACAGACCCAUGGUGGUUCUUGGACUUCGGGCGGGGAGUGCUAAUCUUUUGGAAAAGGGAGGAAGCGCUUCAGCUCUAAAAGCACUUGUUUGGCUUUUCUUCACGUGACAAGCCAGUGAAUAGGAAAAUAAAGGGGGGGGGGGUCGGAAUGAUUAGAGGAAUUUUGGCACUGCUGCAAAAGAAUUUCUAAUAAGGUUUUAAGAAAGAUGUUAUUUUUUGCGUGCUAAAGAAAUCUACGGACACUAGGAAUGUUUAUUGUGAACUAUUUUCUUCAAGUAUCGCUUCCUGGGAAGAAGGGAGGGUCAAAUGUGUCUUCGUGUACUUCAGACUGCCUUUGAGAAUGUUUUAUUGACAAUCAGAAUGUCCCAAGGUGUUUUAAACAACAACAACAAAAAGAAAAAGAUGGCAAACAUGAAAUGCUAAGUAGAAGUGCCAUGCUGUCUUGUGUCCAAGCAAUAUCUCUCCUAAUAAGCACUAUAUGAUACAUUAUCACAUCAUGUUAAAUUAGUAAUUUUUGUGUACAGAUUGUUCAUAGGUUGUUCUGACUUUAUGGGUAUUUGCUCAGUAUGUACAAUACAUAACAUUUAGUUUUAUGUACAUAACAAUACUAUAUGACUUACACACAAAAGUUAAUCAUCCAAUACUUUUUUUUUGUUUUUUGUUUUUUUUACAGCUGACCAAUACAUUAGACUAUGAUUGUAUACCUUUUUAUUUGUAAUGUUUUUUUUAACAAGCAUGGUUUUAUUGGUCAGUGAUUUUUAAGUUUUGUGGCUUAAAAAAAAAGCCAAGAAAGUGCAAUUUCUUUGACUGUUUACAUACCCUACAUAUAUACACCCCCCCCCCUCCCCUCUUUCAUCUUUUUUUUUUUAAAGUGCAUCGCUGCAAGUGUAUUAUAAACUUUAUAGCAAAGGUACAUUUAAAAAGAGUUAUCUAGUUUGCAUGACUUGUAACCUUUGCCUGUUGCCUCUAACGAUGUGCAUCUGGGGGAAAAAAAAGAAAAAAAACGUCAUAGAAAGUACGAUCAGAUUUGUAUUUUGUUUUUGCUUAUGUAUCUAAUAAUAAAAAGCAUUUUAUGUCUACCAACUGAAAA
Phyllopteryx taeniolatus (common seadragon) is the source of this 7904-nucleotide RNA transcript. It is a transcript of the gene named histone-lysine N-methyltransferase ASH1L-like, with no coding region annotated. The record is from RefSeq and is a predicted model, not a curated record. The transcript is spliced from 16 exons. NCBI's taxonomy places the organism in Eukaryota, Metazoa, Chordata, Actinopteri, Syngnathiformes, Syngnathidae.